CGAUGGCUGGUUUGUAUUACAACGUGAUUGUAAAUGAAUAGAAGAGCUUCUUGUGAAGAAGUCUUCUGAAGUUAAAGUUGCUUACAAGAAUGCGAGGGGGAGAAAGUUCAAAAUGCUAGAUGACAAGGUCUACAGGAUGAGUGUGAGAAGAGGGGAGAUUGGCUCAUCAGCGGUAAACAAAUUGGAGAUUAAAAGGUGCCGUGAGGAGGUUGAAAUGUACAAAAGCAAAUAUAGCGAUUUGGAAAAGGAGAAACAUAGCAUUUAUGAAGAAAUGAAGACAGAGGUAACCAGGCUAGAGGAAGAACAUGACUUGAAAGAGGUCAACCAAGAAUUGGCAGAUUAUGUGAAGGUCCU
This is a non-coding RNA of Paramuricea clavata, 354 nucleotides long. The record is from the annotation of a GenBank genome assembly. NCBI's taxonomy places the organism in Eukaryota, Metazoa, Cnidaria, Anthozoa, Malacalcyonacea, Plexauridae.